This 55-nucleotide transfer RNA is filed under the name Khawia sinensis. RNAcentral's name for it is "tRNA-Ser". Lineage: Eukaryota; Metazoa; Platyhelminthes; Cestoda; Caryophyllidea; Lytocestidae. The record is from RNAcentral.
GAGGGAGGUUUGUUACUGCUAAUAACUAUAAGUCGUGUGAUUCGACCCCCUCUUG